GUUUUAUUCAUCUCAUGGCCUUAUUCCUUGUCUCUCUCUGUAGCUAUUGUCAAGGCCUUUUGUUUUUAAUUAUCUUUCCAGAAAAGAACUCUUGAGCAAAUAAUGCUUCUGAGGUCUACUUUGGCACCAUAGUAGAAGGAUGUAUGGUUUGUUUACCCAUUUAGGUUUCUUUUAUUUAUAGGAAUAUUUAUUGUUAAUAAUUUCUGCUGGCUUGUUGCUUUGUCUUCUCCUUGCCUUGUUAUUCUCCAAUUUUUAUAUAUGGUUGGUGGCUAAAAUAGAAGAGAAGAUGCAGAAUAGGUACCAGCCUCUGUUUUAGAAAAGCAAUGUCCAGGACCUAUGACAAAUUUCUUUGUGACUUCUGACAAUUAGUUUAGCCUUUUUUUCAUGCAGUUGGAAGAGUUCAACACACAGCGUUGACUGAAGGAGCAAACUGGAGGUGUACUACUGUGUGAUUGGUGACCAACCCGGACACUUCACUGGACACAGAUGCGGUCUCACUGAAACUGAAGAAAACAGCUUGUGGAGUAAGAUGUUAUUCAAGAGAAGCCAAAAGGGCAGAAUCUGGCCCACCCUUAAUAAUUCAGGGCUAGAGUGUGCCACAAGGAUGCAGCUCAUAUGAAUUAGCAGCAUGUUGUACCAUCCCAGGAAAUGAAGGCAUGUGCACCUUAAUUGCUACUUAUCUUUGAGGUCAGCUGUACUCUGUGGAUAUGUAGUUCUAUCAAU
Molecule: long non-coding RNA, 723 nt
Filed under: Anas platyrhynchos platyrhynchos (common mallard)
Lineage: Eukaryota; Metazoa; Chordata; Aves; Anseriformes; Anatidae
Description: lncRNA (ENSAPLG00000028400.1)
Source: RNAcentral